GCGGGAUUAGUAUAGCGGUAGUACGUUUCCUUCCCAAGGAAAAAGCGCCAGUUCGAUUCUGGUAUCCCGCU
Molecule: non-coding RNA, 71 nt
Organism: Parcubacteria bacterium DG_74_1
Lineage: Bacteria; Candidatus Parcubacteria
Source: Rfam